CCUACGGGGGGCAGCAGUGGGGAAUAUUGGGCAAUGGGCGCAAGCCUGACCCAGCAACGCCGCGUGAAGGAAGAAGGCUUUCGGGUUGUAAACUUCUUUUCUCAGGGACGAAGCAAGUGACGGUACCUGAGGAAUAAGCCACGGCUAACUACGUGCCAGCAGCCGCGGUAAUACGUAGGUGGCAAGCGUUAUCCGGAUUUACUGGGUGCAAAGGGCGUGUAGGCGGGAAAGCAAGUCAGAUGUGAAAACCAUGGGCUCAACCUGUGGCCUGCAUUUGAAACUGUUUUUCUUGAGUGCUGGAGAGGCAGACGGAAUUCCUGGUGUAGCGGUGAAAUGCGUAGAUAUUAGGAGGAACACCAGUGGCGAAGGCGGUCUGCUGGACAGCAACUGACGCUGAGGCGCGAAAGCGUGGGGAGCAAACAGGAUUAGAUACCCUGGUAGUC
RNAcentral lists this ribosomal RNA (443 nucleotides) under uncultured bacterium. RNAcentral describes it as "partial 16S ribosomal RNA". It matches the Rfam family "Bacterial small subunit ribosomal RNA", at positions 338 to 795 of the family's 1533-position model. The record is from RNAcentral.